GCCAGGGGAGCAUGGGUGGUUCAUGCACUCGACUUGUAAUCGAGACUUCCCGCGUUCGAAUCGCGGCCCUGGCU
RNAcentral lists this transfer RNA (74 nucleotides) under Halorubrum sp. JWXQ-INN 858. RNAcentral's name for it is "tRNA-Thr". It matches the Rfam family "tRNA". From Rfam's summary of the family: Transfer RNA (tRNA) molecules are approximately 80 nucleotides in length. Their secondary structure includes four short double-helical elements and three loops (D, anti-codon, and T loops). Further hydrogen bonds mediate the characteristic L-shaped molecular structure. tRNAs have two regions of fundamental functional importance: the anti-codon, which is responsible for specific mRNA codon recognition, and the 3' end, to which the tRNAs corresponding amino acid is attached (by aminoacyl-tRNA synthetases). tRNAs cope with the degeneracy of the genetic code in two manners: having more than one tRNA (with a specific anti-codon) for a particular amino acid; and 'wobble' base-pairing, i.e. permitting non-standard base-pairing at the 3rd anti-codon position. The record is from RNAcentral. Lineage: Archaea; Methanobacteriati; Methanobacteriota; Halobacteria; Halobacteriales; Haloferacaceae.